GGCCCCGUAGUGCAUGGGUUCGCAUCGGUCUCUUUCAAAGACUGGAAACGGGUUCGAGUCCCGUCGGGGCUA
Molecule: transfer RNA, 72 nt
Filed under: Gloeobacter kilaueensis JS1
Lineage: Bacteria; Bacillati; Cyanobacteriota; Cyanophyceae; Gloeobacterales; Gloeobacteraceae
Description: tRNA-Glu (TTC) (tRNA-Glu-TTC-2-1)
Rfam family: tRNA
About the family: Transfer RNA (tRNA) molecules are approximately 80 nucleotides in length. Their secondary structure includes four short double-helical elements and three loops (D, anti-codon, and T loops).
Source: Rfam by way of RNAcentral